UCAUCUCACCGGAACCUUGCCCCGCGGCAGCCCUGGAAUACCACCGUCCGGAAACUUCCCGGCUACCUCCCGCAGCGCCGGCGCGAGGACCUGGGCGACGGGGCGGGGCGAGGUCCUGUAGGCAACCCCCGGCUGUGCUUGGUCGUAGCGGUAGCGAGAGGGAGCCGCGGGCGCGAGGACAUGGGUCAGGAGCUGGCCGAAGACGCCGGUGUGAGGACCUUGGCUUGGGGCCGCUCCCCCACGGCCCUGCCGACGCCGGCGUGAGUUCCUGGAGUCGAAGCCCCGGCUGGGCUUGGCGUAGUGGUCGACCAACGAAGCAAGGUACCUCGCCCCUGCUCUCAUCUAUUCCCUCCCUCCCUGCCUGCACGUUCAGCGUCGACCAACUGCUCCUUUCACCACCUUGAAAUAAAGAUCCAGUUAGUAGUUGAGUAGUGACCACACCUAAUGUAGCUAUUGCAGAACAUGGUUCGUAUUGUUCCCCUGAAACUCUGAAUCUUGUGUUUGGUGUUAUUUGUAAAACCAAGUACUAGUAGAACAUGAUUCGUAUUUGAUCAAGCUGACAGGUGGCAAUACCCCUCUGCUGCCAUGACUUUCACAGUUGUCAAGGCCUAUAAAAUUUUCAUUCGGGAGACUACAACCAUUCCUGCCAUUGCCUGGCUUUGGAAAGCCUGCACUCAACUGAAACAUAAAAUCUUUUUCCGGUUGUUGAUUAACAACAUGCUGAACACCACAGAGCUGGUGUGUCAUGUGUGAUCAGUAUGUCCUAGAAACCAGAGAUCGUCUAUUUCUUCACUGCAAUUUUGCACAAAUUUGCUGGAAAUAUGUUUGCCCCAAUUCGUCUCCUCUGUCAGAAGGGAUUCAGGGUCAGUUUAGUAACUUGAACACCAUGCUUCAUAUUUCAUUUGCCAUGGACAGAAUCAUUUUGAUUUUUUGGGCCAUAUGGAACACUCGCAGUGAGUUCAUUUUCAGAGAUAUCACUCCCAGUCUAUAUGCUUGCAGAAGCAGAUUCAAAGAUGGGCUUCAAUGGUUGGUCCACAGAGCCAAAAUAAAAUCAUAUGCUACACUCUCAGAUUGGGCUAAAUCUUUCAGAUAGCAAGCACUAGCAGGCCUCAGCUGAUUUUUGUACUUUCUUAUUGUAUUUGUACUUUGUAGGCCUAGCUUUUUCUUUUCUUGUACAUAACUAUAUACUUCUAAAAAAUCUACAAAAAUGCUCUGGGGAAGAAAUUCCUACAGGUUCGAGUCAGAAAACUAGUGAAAGUGAACUCUUUUUUUAUGUCAUAACCCCAUACGUUAUUUCCAAUAAUCUUCAUAGCCACAACCUCCACAAAAAUAAUUUGUAUCAUAGCCACAUGUCGAGUUCCACCGAACUAUUAAAUGUCUUUCACUUAUAGUGCCAGAUACCAAUUUUGAUGAAUGUCUUUUUGUAAGUAUCCAUACUUUUGUAGGCAUCUUUCCUCAAGGAUAACUCAUGUAUCCUAAUAAAUGUACUCCAUUCGCUUGAAUUUACAAGGCUUAUUUGAUUUGUCUUUACAUUAAAAUAGGUUGGCAAAAAAGGAGCAUUUCAAAGCUUGGCAUUAUCUCAGCAUAGUCACAACGUAGGGGGAGCACGUCGUUAGCAACUUUGAAGGCCACGUUGUUGCAAUCUUCCAAAUGUGCUAGCAGCAAAAAAAGGUGAGUGCAUAUUGUUAAUCUCCUUGAAACAAAACACUCUUCUUCUUCUUUCAAAUUGCUUUACUGACCAUGCUCUGUUUUUCAAGGAUGAGUAAAUUACAGGCAAGCAGGAACCAGCAGCUGCUUCUUCCAUCAAUUCUUCAAUCUUUGCUCCAUAUUUUUGCUCAGAACUAUCCAUCAGUUCCUAGUUUGCAUAGAGGCUGAACUUCUUGUUUCAAAUACUUGGAGACGCUUUUGAUCCAGUGGCAACUUGCAGGCAUAAAUAAUGUACGUUAUAAUGUCACUGAAGGGAGUUUCACAGUUCUUAUUGUAUGUCAUGGACGCUGUCAGAUUAUGGUCAAUCCAUUUCAUGCAGUUUACUUUCAUUUCUUGCGAACAUAUGUCAUGUACAAUAAAUUUUAGAGUCCAGACAGAAAUCUAGGAACCAAUGAUGUUUAUCAAGUGAAAGAAAUUGCAUUAUGGCAUGUUUACAGGGAUCAAAUCUCUGCGCUGAUGCUUGAAU
This 2173-nucleotide long non-coding RNA is filed under the name Triticum aestivum (bread wheat). RNAcentral's name for it is "long non-coding RNA (TAES_LNC015457)". The record is from RNAcentral. Lineage: Eukaryota; Viridiplantae; Streptophyta; Magnoliopsida; Poales; Poaceae.